RNAcentral lists this ribosomal RNA (563 nucleotides) under uncultured bacterium. RNAcentral describes it as "bacterial SSU rRNA". It matches the Rfam family "Bacterial small subunit ribosomal RNA", at positions 338 to 916 of the family's 1533-position model. The record is from RNAcentral.
CCUACGGGAGGCAGCAGUAGGGAAUUUUCCACAAUGGGGGCAACCCUGAUGGAGCAACGCCGCGUGCAGGAUGAAUGCCUUCGGGUUGUAAACUGCUUUUAUAUGUGACGAAUAUGACGGUAGCAUAUGAAUAAGGAUCGGCUAACUCCGUGCCAGCAGCCGCGGUCAUACGGAGGAUCCAAGCGUUAUCCGGAAUUACUGGGCGUAAAGAGUUGCGUAGGUGGCACUGUGUGUCGAUAGUGAAAGCGUGUGGCUCAACCAUAUACACAUUAUCGAAACUGCAGAGCUAGAAGACGAGAGAGGUUACUAGAAUUCCUAGUGUAGGAGUGGAAUCCGUAGAUAUUAGGAGGAAUACCGAUGGCGUAGGCAGGUAACUGGCUCGUUCUUGACACUAAGGCACGAAAGCGUGGGGAGCAAACGGGAUUAGAUACCCCGGUAGUCCACGCCGUAAACGAUGAAUGCUAGCUGUUAUGGGUAUCGACCCCCGUAGUAGCGAAGCUAACGCGUUAAGCAUUCCGCCUGUGGAGUACGGUCGCAAGACUAAAACUUAAAGGAAUUGACGG